GUUGGGCACUCUAUGCAGACUGCCCGGGUUAACCGGGAGGAAGGUGGGGACGACGUCAAGUCAUCAUGGCCCUUACACCUAGGGCUACACACGUACUACAAUGGCACGCACAAAGGGCAGCGAUACCGUGAGGUGGAGCCAAUCCCAAAAAACGUGUCCCAGUCCGGAUUGCAGUCUGCAACUCGACUGCAUGAAGUCGGAAUCGCUAGUAAUUCGAGGUCAGCAUACUCGGGUGAAUGCGUUCCCGGGCCUUGUACACACCGCCCGUCACACCACGAAAGUCGGUUUUACCCGAAGCCGGUGAGCCAACUAGCAAUAGAGGCAGCCGUCUACGGUAGGGCCGAUGAUUGGGGUGAAGUCGUAACAAGGUAGCCGUAGGGGAACCUGCGGCUGGAUCACCUCCUUUAAGG
RNAcentral lists this ribosomal RNA (410 nucleotides) under Desulfovibrio piger. Its description in RNAcentral is "bacterial SSU rRNA". It matches the Rfam family "Bacterial small subunit ribosomal RNA", at positions 1130 to 1533 of the family's 1533-position model. The record is from RNAcentral. Lineage: Bacteria; Pseudomonadati; Thermodesulfobacteriota; Desulfovibrionia; Desulfovibrionales; Desulfovibrionaceae.